UACGAACUGUGCAAACGUUAUUCGGAAUCACUGGGCUUAAAGGGUGCGUAGGCGGCCAUUUAAGUAGGGUGUGAAAGCCUGGAGCUCAACUCCAGAAUUGCGCCCUAAACUGGAUGGCUCGAGUGAGGUAGGGGUGUGUGGAACUUCCGGUGGAGCGGUGAAAUGUGUUGAUAUCGGAAGGAACGCCGGUGGCGAAAGCGACACACUGGGUCUCAACUGACGCUGAGGCACGAAAGCCAGGGUAGCGAACGGG
RNAcentral lists this ribosomal RNA (253 nucleotides) under uncultured bacterium. Its description in RNAcentral is "partial 16S ribosomal RNA". It matches the Rfam family "Bacterial small subunit ribosomal RNA", at positions 524 to 776 of the family's 1533-position model. The record is from RNAcentral.